This 241-nucleotide ribosomal RNA is filed under the name Platocoelotes impletus. Its description in RNAcentral is "partial 12S ribosomal RNA". The record is from RNAcentral. Lineage: Eukaryota; Metazoa; Arthropoda; Arachnida; Araneae; Agelenidae.
GAUAAAUUUCACUUUAUUUAAAAUUUAUAUACCGCCAUCUUAAGAAUUAAUUAAAAAAUAUUUCUCCAAAAAAUAAUUAAAAAGUUAGGUCAAGGUGUAAUUAACAUUAAAGAAUUAGAUGAAUUACAUUAAACAUCAUUUAAAGAUUUUAAAUAAAUUUAUUUAUAUAAAUAAGGAUUUAAAAGUAAUAUUUCAAUAAUAUUACAAUAUGAAUAGAAUAAUAAAUGUGCACACAUCGCCC